GUUGAAAGUUGGUCUUUGCUUGUUUCGUCGGAUUUGGUCCAAAUUUUGCCCUAAACUCAGCAAUGGUCUUUGUUUUGUCUGUCUGAUUUGGUUCAAAUAUAGCCCCAAAAUCUAUGUUUAAUAUUAGGUUUUUGUUUGGUCCAUCUGAUUUGGUCCAAAUUUAGGCCAAAAUAAAUGUUGAAAUAACAGUGAAAUUCUGCGUGACUUCUACCGUGCUGUAAUGGGCGCGCGCGCUGAACUGGAGCGGAGGACGUCACCAUGGAAACGAGGCGGCAGCCCAACCGUCAAGCAGCUGAACGCUGACUCUCAAUGUGGUUUUCACUAUUGUUUUUUAGAAAUGGUUUAGUGUCGUCAGAAAAAGUCCGUUAGCAUCUCCACUGUAAGGCUAACUACAAGAGGUUCUUCCAUGCUGAUGGCUGUGCUCUAGAGUCAUAUCUCCUGUCGAAGAACAUUUUUAGACAUUAUGAACCAUGAAAAAGUUUAGCUCCAACCCCAGUUAAGCAGAUCUGGGCAGCUGAUCAAGGAUCACCAGAAACUCUGCAGAACAUUGGUCCUCCAGCCCAGGACUGGACACCAGUGUUAGUGUCUGUCUCAGAAGCUGAAGAAAAGAGGCCACACCUCAGAGGAAAUAAGCGCUUCCUAAGGGUACGGAAAUACCUGGCUGAGAAGAUCAGUGACAUAAACCAGAUAAAACUGUCAGUGGUCUAAGACAGCUACAAUGAAGCCACAAAUGCAGUUCAUAGUUCCUGUAUUUCUAUAAUGCAUUAAUGAAUAACAAUAAUUUUAAAAAAAAUUUAAUGUCAAGGUUUUGUGUUAAUUCCAGCUAUGUUGAGUAUUCUGUGAAUAAUUUUGAUUUUAGGUACAUAUUCUUAAUUCUUUG
This is a long non-coding RNA of Cyprinus carpio (common carp), 880 nucleotides long. RefSeq lists it as uncharacterized. NCBI's taxonomy places the organism in Eukaryota, Metazoa, Chordata, Actinopteri, Cypriniformes, Cyprinidae. The record is from RefSeq and is a predicted model, not a curated record. The transcript is spliced from 6 exons.